Strigops habroptila (Kakapo) is the source of this 1243-nucleotide long non-coding RNA. RefSeq lists it as uncharacterized. The transcript is spliced from 2 exons. Lineage: Eukaryota; Metazoa; Chordata; Aves; Psittaciformes; Psittacidae. The record is from RefSeq and is a predicted model, not a curated record.
CAGCCCCCUGACCUGGCUUUGACCAGAGCCUUUGCUUCUUAUCGUUCGUCCGUAGCAAACACCUUACCGCAGGCAGAGGGUAUCCCCUCUCCUCCCACCAGCCUGUAAUUUGGGUUUUGCAGCUCAUCCUAUGGGAAGCACUGAGGUGGUGUUAAUGCUCGCCUGCUUUGACUUGCCAUGUAUAGGUAAAAGAAAAGCCUUUGUUUACAGAAGCCAUAUUAACCUACAUUAAGUGCUGCAGUCUGUUUCUGUUCUAAGUACUUCUUACCCACUUGAAGAAAAAUUAGUUAUGAAAUGACAGUAAAGUUUCACAUGCAAACAGUUUUAGUGGUUUAACUUAAUGUGCUGUCCUGGGCUCCAGUGUUCGCCUGCGUAAAGUCAGGGUUCGGUUCAGGGCGCCUGGCUUUGCUGUCCACGUACCCCCUUCACCCAGACAUCCUCACGCAGGUGCUGCCGCCUGCCUGCCUGGCUGCUGCUCACCAGGAGCUGGACCCUGCCCGGGGCCGCUCGCUGCACACCCGCAACAACCAAGGGCACAUGUGCUCUUUGCUUACUGCGUGCCAGCAGUGCACCCCAGACUCCCUGUCCGUCUCUGGCUUUCCAUGGGGUGUGCUGCUCGGCAUCUUGUUGGGGCUGGCUGCUGGCACUGCUCCCACCAGGGAGAAGGAAUUGCUCUGUUUUGUGAUUUCCAGCGAUUCCUCUGCAAACCACAGGCAUCCGAUGAGCUGCUGGCAGCCCAGGGCUCUGGCUCUGCCACCACCUUUGCAUGGCUUUGGGGUCUUCAGCUCCUGCCCCUUCGUCUCCUGCAGUGGGAUCCUGCUGCCUGAACGACCUCAGGUGCCAUGCGGAAGGCUGCUGGUUCCAGGAAGGGUAGAGCUGGGAGUGCUGUCAAACUCACAGAGGGGGGGAAGUUACUAAUUUUCUGUGUAAUCUAUUUCAGUUACAGUUAUAAUGCCUCAUUCUUCUAAGCAUUUUUUUGACAUGAAAGCAGCUUUAGUGUAGGGGAAGUGAUACUUACUUCAUUGUUAUGGUAAUUGUUGCCAUUUCCCUCCAGCAAAAGGCUCUAAGGCAGAAGUAUGUCUGAAGUCCUACCUCACUGCUCUUACCUCUUCUCCUUGGUCGCCUUUGUCAGCGCUUAUGGGCACAUACCAAGAGACACAGAUCAGCAAAACGGCAGAAAUGACCACCUCAUGAGAAAUUGUGACCCUGGAGACUAAAAUGUAAUAAAAUAUCCUCUCUGGUA